This is a small nuclear RNA of Myodes glareolus (Bank vole), 163 nucleotides long. RefSeq annotates it as U1 spliceosomal RNA. The record is from RefSeq and is a predicted model, not a curated record. NCBI's taxonomy places the organism in Eukaryota, Metazoa, Chordata, Mammalia, Rodentia, Cricetidae.
AUUCUUACCUAGCAGGGGAUAGGCCAUGAUCAUGAAGGUGAUUUUCUCAGGGCAAGACUUGUCCUUUGCACCCUGGAUGUGCUAAACCCUGAGAUGUUCCAAGAUAUAGGAAACUCAACUGUGUAAUUUGUGGUAGUGGUAACUCUGUUCAUGCUGUCUCCUA